RNAcentral lists this ribosomal RNA (714 nucleotides) under fungal sp. RNAcentral describes it as "eukaryotic LSU rRNA". The stretch from base 472 to 714 matches the Rfam family "Eukaryotic large subunit ribosomal RNA", at positions 1 to 247 of the family's 3401-position model. The record is from RNAcentral. Lineage: Eukaryota; Fungi.
CGGAGGGAUCAUUACCGAGUUUACAACUCCCAAACCCCUGUGAACAUACCACUUGUUGCCUCGGCGGAUCAGCCCGCUCCCGGUAAAACGGGACGGCCCGCCAGAGGACCCCUAAACUCUGUUUCUAUAUGUAACUUCUGAGUAAAACCAUAAAUAAAUCAAAACUUUCAACAACGGAUCUCUUGGUUCUGGCAUCGAUGAAGAACGCAGCAAAAUGCGAUAAGUAAUGUGAAUUGCAGAAUUCAGUGAAUCAUCGAAUCUUUGAACGCACAUUGCGCCCGCCAGUAUUCUGGCGGGCAUGCCUGUUCGAGCGUCAUUUCAACCCUCAAGCACAGCUUGGUGUUGGGACUCGCGUUAAUUCGCGUUCCCCAAAUUGAUUGGCGGUCACGUCGAGCUUCCAUAGCGUAGUAGUAAAACCCUCGUUACUGGUAAUCGUCGCGGCCACGCCGUUAAACCCCAACUUCUGAAUGUUGACCUCGGAUCAGGUAGGAAUACCCGCUGAACUUAAGCAUAUCAAUAAGCGGAGGAAAAGAAACCAACAGGGAUUGCCCUAGUAACGGCGAGUGAAGCGGCAACAGCUCAAAUUUGAAAUCUGGCUCUCGGGCCCGAGUUGUAAUUUGUAGAGGAUACUUUUGAUGCGGUGCCUUCCGAGUUCCCUGGAACGGGACGCCAUAGAGGGUGAGAGCCCCGUCUGGUUGGAUGCCAAAUCUCUGU